Long non-coding RNA from Oryzias latipes (Japanese medaka), 288 nucleotides. RefSeq lists it as uncharacterized. NCBI's taxonomy places the organism in Eukaryota, Metazoa, Chordata, Actinopteri, Beloniformes, Adrianichthyidae. The record is from RefSeq and is a predicted model, not a curated record.
UUAACGGGGGCCCGCCAUGACGCCCGCGUCCCCGAAACGGUGAAGACUCCGGAGGCUCGCGCGGCUGGACCGUGCCGUGGCUGCGGCUGUAGUGAUGAUGAUGAUGAAGCUGGAUAUCAAUUUACGUCAAUUGGAACCACAUGAUGCAGUGCGGACAUAAAGCGACGCUCGUCUGCCAUCUGCUGGUCAGAGUGUGACACUGCAGCGUUCCACAGACCACGCAACUCCAGCACUGUACAAAAGAGAUUGAAAUAAAAAAGCACCGACACUUUUGAUCUUUAAAAGGUA